AAGUAUAAGGGUGAUCUGGCCACAACAUGUCACCCACUGAUCUCCAGAGUUACUUUGGCUGAUCUGGCUGGAUGGCUAGGUGGGUGUCCCCUUCCUCCUUCAUAACUUGAUGUAAGUCCUUCCCAAAGGACUGUACUUGAGUCAAGGGUAUAUGAAGUAGCUACUGCCCUGCUGGAACUGCCCAACAAGCUUUCAAGGUCCCAAAGGCAGUAAGUAUACCAAGCAAACCAGUCAAGUGGUAUUAUCUUUACUUUCAAACCUGAAGCCCAAA
Molecule: small nuclear RNA, 271 nt
Filed under: Nannospalax galili (Upper Galilee mountains blind mole rat)
Lineage: Eukaryota; Metazoa; Chordata; Mammalia; Rodentia; Spalacidae
Description: 7SK RNA (ENSNGAG00000002628.1)
Rfam family: 7SK RNA
About the family: 7SK was discovered as an abundant small nuclear RNA in the mid-70s but a possible function has only recently been suggested.
Source: Rfam by way of RNAcentral